UACCCCGCCGGGNUUAAGCAUAUCAAUAAGCGGAGGAAAAGAAACUAACAAGGAUGCGCUUAGUAACGGCGAGCGAACCGCGCAAAGCCCAACUUGAAAAUCUCCCUUGGAGAAUUGUAGUCUAUAGAAGUACCCUCUGCAACGGGCGGAGCUCAAGUCUCCUGGAAAGGAGCGUCAGAGAGGGUGAGAACCCCGUAAGCUCUUGCUUUGUUGCCUCACGAGGUGCUUUCGAAGAGUCGGGUUGCUUGGGAAUGCAGCCCAAAUUUGGUGGUAAAUCCCAUCUAAGGCUAAAUAUUGGCGAGAGACCGAUAGCGAACAAGUACCGUGAGGGAAAGAUGAAAAGAACUUUGAAAAGAGAGUUAAAAAGUGCUUGAAAUUGUUGAGGGGGAAGCGUUUGAAUGCUAGAGUGCGCCUAGGCUUAUGGGUUCUUAACGGAGCUCUGUAUGUGCUAGGUGCUGGCCAGCAUGGGUUGGGCGAGUGGGAUAACAACUGGGGUUGUUACCCGGUCUAUGCCACUUGCUUGACCAAGGCGUGAAGGCUGCUCUUGUCCUUCGGGAACU
RNAcentral lists this ribosomal RNA (560 nucleotides) under Tetradesmus obliquus. RNAcentral's name for it is "partial large subunit ribosomal RNA". It matches the Rfam family "Eukaryotic large subunit ribosomal RNA", at positions 24 to 596 of the family's 3401-position model. Lineage: Eukaryota; Viridiplantae; Chlorophyta; Chlorophyceae; Sphaeropleales; Scenedesmaceae. The record is from RNAcentral.